RNAcentral lists this unclassified non-coding RNA (280 nucleotides) under Cryptococcum komarkovae CCALA 054. RNAcentral describes it as "Cryptococcum komarkovaum CCALA 054 partial contains 16S-23S ribosomal RNA intergenic spacer and 23S ribosomal RNA". Lineage: Bacteria; Bacillati; Cyanobacteriota; Cyanophyceae; Chroococcales; Chroococcaceae. The record is from RNAcentral.
UUCAGGGAGACCAACUUGAGAGUCGUGUCAAUUAUUAGUGACAGAAUCAUCAAGCAUCCCAAAGGUCGAACUUGAAAUGAGUAAAAGGCUUUCAAAUUAUUAAUUAGGGUUCGUAAAAAAAGCACCUUGAAAACUGCAUAAAACUAGAAGAAGAAAUAGAGAAAAAAACUGUCAAUUAAAAAAACAGGUAAUAGUUCUAACAGACAUUCUCAAAAAAAAUAAUUACAAAGGUCAAGCUAAGAAGGGCUAACGGUGGAUACCUAGGCACACAGAGGCGAAG